Molecule: non-coding RNA, 32 nt
Filed under: Rattus norvegicus (Norway rat)
Lineage: Eukaryota; Metazoa; Chordata; Mammalia; Rodentia; Muridae
Source: RNAcentral
UAAGCUUGGUUCUCACAUGCUGCAUCUGGCUU